GCCUGCCAUUCCAUAAUAAUACCAGCAAGGUGUAUGGGAGGGGCAAGGUAUACAAUAGAACUGUUCUUGCUAUCGCAGCUGAUCUGCCUCCCAAUAUACUUUGUAUCUCCCCAAAUGUAGCUGAGGGGAUUCAUUGUGUUUAACUGAAGUUUCUUUGUUAUUAACCAUGUGCUUAUGGCUGUUUUAUCAGUAUAAAGAUGUGUGUAAAUCCUCUGUAUCGUCAGUCUGAACAGCGCCAGCUUUUGGUGUGGACGCUUUGUGCACAUC
This is a long non-coding RNA of Amblyraja radiata (thorny skate), 267 nucleotides long. RefSeq lists it as uncharacterized. NCBI's taxonomy places the organism in Eukaryota, Metazoa, Chordata, Chondrichthyes, Rajiformes, Rajidae. The record is from RefSeq and is a predicted model, not a curated record. The transcript has 3 exons.